CUCUCCAAAACCCCUCUUUUCUCAGACCCAAAAUCACUUCUGUUCUUUCUCUCCUCUCACCACUCAACUUCAUAGCCAAACCAUUCCCUUUCGCUGUUUAACCAAAAUCCAAUCUUUGAACACAAACAAAGCCCAUAAUUUUCGUCGGUUUUCCGGGAAAGCAAUUGGGUUUUUGUUUGAAAGGAAGUUAAGGGUCGUGUGAGUGCAAAAGAGGAUGGCGUUGAUGAAGCUGAGGAGGAAAGUAGAAGGGAGAGUACUAUGCCGGAGCGGUUUAGGUACUUGACCGAAGAAGCUCCUGACCCUCCUGUGAGGUGGCCUUGGUUUCUGGAGGUUUAGGACGCUACUAGGCAAUUACAAGUGCUGGCAAAGUGUAAUGGAGUGGAAGCAGAUGGUUGAGGUGAAUUGGUGCGGUAAAUGGUAGCAACAAGUAAACGGAUGGAUGGAAGAGGCAUGGAAAACAGAGAGAUGGACAACAGACAUGUAUAAAAGAGUUCAUGAUGCGACCCCAAGCAAAAGUGGAAGUUCAUGCAGUUCAGACGACAAGGAGUUUCAUGCUUAAGCGACUCGUAUUGGAUAAGCCACCACUUAUCACAAAACCCAAAAAACCAACAGAGCCCCAUGUUUCAUCUAGCCUUUGCAGAGCCCAAAUCAAGAUUCAAGCGUGAAGGUUGCAGUCGCCGAAAUCAAUAUGAGGAGUUGACGAAGGCUUAGCCUUCGCAGAAACCAUACCAAUAUCGAUGGUGUAUGCGAAGAUGAUGAAGGCGUUGAGGACAUGCUGGAAGAUCUUCAGUUAGCGAAUCUGAAGAUUUAUCUCAUCCUAUCUCCCAUCAUCUUGGCCGGAGCAUCCAAGAGGCUUUCCAAUUUAGUGUCAGGGUUUUGUUUCCUUUCCCAGUUCUGAGGGCUACGGUAUAAUAUUUGGGCAGUUUUGGUUGGAUGGGAGGUGGUACAGAUGUGCCUACCAGAAAAAUUCUCAGGUAGUUUUGAUUGGAUAGGGGAAUAUGUACCUACUAGACAAGGCUUGUUGAACCUUCAACUGUUAUGCUAUAUUUUCCAAAUGAAGUUAUUGUAUGUAUAUGCAUAUAUUCAAGUAUACUGUUGAUUUA
Long non-coding RNA from Rosa rugosa (rugosa rose), 1103 nucleotides. RefSeq lists it as uncharacterized. The transcript has 5 exons. The record is from RefSeq and is a predicted model, not a curated record. Lineage: Eukaryota; Viridiplantae; Streptophyta; Magnoliopsida; Rosales; Rosaceae.